CUACAUCACUUCUAGAGCUAUUUUGUCCACACGCAAUGAUUGGGUUGAUAGGAUUAAUAUGAAGAUGAUUGGAUCUUUCCAAGGUGGGGAGGUGGAGUAUCAUAGUUUUGAUUCUACUGUAGAUGAUCCACACAACUAUUAUCCAUCAGAGUUUCUUAACACCCUUACACCCAAUGGAUUGCCUCCACAUGAUGUGUUAAAGCUAAAGGUGGGUUGUCCAAUAAUAUUGCUUCGGAACAUUGAUCCUGCAAAUGGUUUAUGUAAUGGUACGAGGUUAGUUGUCCGUGGUUUCCAAAGAAAUACUAUAGAUGCUGAAAUCGUGUUGGGCCAGCAUGCUGGAAAACGAGUUUUCCUCCCUCGGAUACCCAUAUGCCCCUCUGAUGACGAGAUGUUCCCGUUUCAAUUCAAAAGAAAAUAGUUUCCUAUCCGGCUCAGUUUUGCCAUGACGGUCAACAAGUCACAAGGUCAGACUAUUCCUAACGUCGGUGUUUACCUCCCUGACCCCGUGUUCUCACAUGGGCAAUUGUAUGUUGCAAUGUCAAGGGCAACUGCUAGAACAAACAUCAAGAUUCUAGCACUUCCACCGAAUGCCACUGAGCUCGAGGAAGAAGCUAAAAAGGAAAAGAAAAUUGCUAAAAAAAGGGUAAGGACACUGUCAAUAACAAGAAAGAAAAGAAAAAGAUUCCAGUAUAUACAUGUACGAAGAAUAUUGUAUACAAGGAGGUCCUAACGGGAUAAUACAAAGAUUUGUGUGACAAUGUGUUCAUCUGCCUCUGUCCAAGAAAAUCAAAAAAAACUCGGCCGGGUGGGGAAAGACCGCCCCACCGGUAUUGACUUUCUAGAAGAAGCAUCGGCUUCCCCGACCGAGAAAAUCCCCGAACCCUGGCCCCGCCCUGACACUGGG
This is a long non-coding RNA of Panicum virgatum (switchgrass), 904 nucleotides long. RefSeq lists it as uncharacterized. Lineage: Eukaryota; Viridiplantae; Streptophyta; Magnoliopsida; Poales; Poaceae. The transcript is spliced from 2 exons. The record is from RefSeq and is a predicted model, not a curated record.